GACGAACGCUGGCGGCGUGCCUAAUACAUGCCAGUUGAGCGCUGAAGGUUGGUACUUGUACCAACUGGAUGAGCAGCGAACGGGUGAGUAACGCGUGGGGAAUCUGCCUUUGAGCGGGGGACAACAUUUGGAAACGAAUGCUAAUACCGCAUAAAAACUUUAAACACAAGUUUUAAGUUUGAAAGAUGCAAUUGCAUCACUCAAAGAUGAUCCCGCGUUGUAUUAGCUAGUUGGUGAGGUAAAGGCUCACCAAGGCGAUGAUACAUAGCCGACCUGAGGGGGUGAUCGGCCACAUUGGGACUGAGACACGGCCCAAACUCCUACGGGAGGCAGCAGUAGGGAAUCUUCGGCAAUGGACGAAAGUCUGACCGAGCAACGCCGCGUGAGUGAAGAAGGUUUUCGGAUCGUAAAACUCUGUUGGUAGAGAAGAACGUUGGUGAGAGUGGAAAGCUCAUCAAGUGACGGUAACUACCCAGAAAGGGACGGCUAACUACGUG
RNAcentral lists this ribosomal RNA (497 nucleotides) under uncultured bacterium. RNAcentral's name for it is "partial 16S ribosomal RNA". It matches the Rfam family "Bacterial small subunit ribosomal RNA", at positions 28 to 507 of the family's 1533-position model. The record is from RNAcentral.